UUUGACAGCUUCUCACCGCCAGAUCGUCGUGGUUUCACCCUGCACGUAUCCAGCCUCUGUUACCUGUCUGUUUCCCGUAUUACCUGUCUGCCUGCCUGCCUGUUGACGACCCUGCGUUCCGGAACCUGGAUAUUCGCCUCUGCUCGUUCCCUCACUGAUCACGGACUUGGUUUUUGCUGCUCAUCGGAAGACACGGAUGCACCUGCCGCUGUCUUCCACCACCCGGACUCUCU
Melanotaenia boesemani (Boeseman's rainbowfish) is the source of this 233-nucleotide long non-coding RNA. RefSeq lists it as uncharacterized. The transcript has 4 exons. The record is from RefSeq and is a predicted model, not a curated record. NCBI's taxonomy places the organism in Eukaryota, Metazoa, Chordata, Actinopteri, Atheriniformes, Melanotaeniidae.